Molecule: non-coding RNA, 244 nt
Organism: Pelobates cultripes (western spadefoot toad)
Lineage: Eukaryota; Metazoa; Chordata; Amphibia; Anura; Pelobatidae
Source: the annotation of a GenBank genome assembly
AUUAAAUGGAUACAUUUACCCUUAAUCCUAUAAUUCUAAAAUGCAUUAAAAAUCGCGAGUAUUCUGAUUAAUUAAAAUUGGAAGGGCUGUAUGUAUUUAGAUAUCAUUAUUGACCACUCUCUAAUAAAGACUUGAACAAUGGUAAAAUUCUCCCUCGCGGGCGAACAGCUCUGUAUAGCCACUGAUUUUAAUUACCUGAUAUGAUCUUCUUUUCUUGCAGGUAAUUAUCACAGUAUUAAGGAAC